CUGAAAUGAAUGAGCUGUGCAGCUGGCUGCUGCCUCAGUGAAAGUUUUCAAUCCUAAAUACCUUGAUGAGCAGCCACAAGAAGAACGGAAAUGACAAAUGGGUUUGGCUUUUGCAAAAACGUAAGGGCUCAUAGUCUGAAAGAGCAGCUGUCUCUCUAUAGUAUUAUAGCUCUGAGGUCCAUAGAGGCACCAAAAUCUCAGUGUUUAUGUUUCUGUCCUGAGCUCACCCUGUAUAGCCCAGUCACUGCAGAACGUAUAUAGCAUGCAAAUCCUCUUGUGGUGAUUUUUUUUUGUGGAAGAUGUGAAAACAAUUCUCCAGGCAAUUCAAGGGCAAUAGUUUUUGAAGACACAGAAGGACUGGCAGAGAGGUAUUUCAAAAGAGGAAGCCUGUAUUUGUAUACUUCAAAGUGAGCUCCAUUCAGUUCAACAGGGCUUAUUCUCAAGAAGAAACCCUGCUGAGGAUUUCAGAACUACUGUAAUAACAUCAGCCUGUGGAACUUGCUACCACUACAGUCCUAAUGGGAAGCUGGGGGAGCCUGUUGAGAAGAGCAUGCAAUUUUGUUUGCACUUGUAUUCUGAGUAGCUGUGAGUGUAGUUCCUGCCUUUGCCACUGGAUUCAAAAGUUCAACUUAACUCAACUCCUGCUCCCCUUAUUUUCCCUUUAGCGCUAAC
Molecule: non-coding RNA, 672 nt
Organism: Pogona vitticeps (central bearded dragon)
Lineage: Eukaryota; Metazoa; Chordata; Lepidosauria; Squamata; Agamidae
Source: RefSeq, a predicted model, not a curated record